RNAcentral lists this transfer RNA (70 nucleotides) under Hypoxylon fuscum. Its description in RNAcentral is "tRNA-Gly". Lineage: Eukaryota; Fungi; Ascomycota; Sordariomycetes; Xylariales; Hypoxylaceae. The record is from RNAcentral.
GCAUCAGUGAUUUAGUGGUGAACCCAUCGUUGCCAUCGAUGUGCUCCGUGUUCGAGUCACGGCUGAUGCA